UUCAGACUGGUAGGAGCUGAUCAUUGCUGUGGAUAAGUGGCUGCUUACACAUAUCUUAGGAUUUCAACUCAUCCUUCCAGUCAGAAGAAAUUCUCUGAGAGAAGCAGUUUUCUAACAUCAAAAUCAACAUUAAAAAAAAAAAAAAAAGAUUCUUUGGGCAGCCAAAUCCAUGACCGAGACUAUUUUUAAAAGGUGCUGCCGGCAAGAGAGAUGUUCAAGAUUAUACAGGUGAUUCUGGAGUAUGAAGCAAAAUGGGUGUAAGCAAGGAUGUCAAAUAUGGACUCCAACAGCCAUAUGCCAGCUUGAGAGAAAUAAUAAACACUUUCCAUUUAUCUUUUUCCAGCAGAGUCAAGACUGCAGAGUUGUGC
Molecule: long non-coding RNA, 368 nt
Organism: Mustela lutreola (European mink)
Lineage: Eukaryota; Metazoa; Chordata; Mammalia; Carnivora; Mustelidae
Exons: 3
Source: RefSeq, a predicted model, not a curated record